UGGCAGCACAUUUACUAAAAAAAAAAAAUUGGAACGAUACAGAGAAGAUUAGCAUGGCCCCUGUGUAAGGAUGAAUGCAAAUUUGUGAAACAUUCCAUAAAAAA
This 104-nucleotide small nuclear RNA is filed under the name Vulpes vulpes (red fox). Lineage: Eukaryota; Metazoa; Chordata; Mammalia; Carnivora; Canidae. The record is from RNAcentral.